GCAUGCCAAGCUAUGUUUUAUGUACUCCUUCUGAUCCAUAAUAAGUGUCAGGAAUUUAGUACAAAGUUACUUUGUACUAAAUCCCCGGCACUUAUUAUGGAUCAGAGGGAGUAAGAAAAUAUUAACUUUGUACUAAAUCCC
Brachypodium distachyon (stiff brome) is the source of this 141-nucleotide non-coding RNA. NCBI's taxonomy places the organism in Eukaryota, Viridiplantae, Streptophyta, Magnoliopsida, Poales, Poaceae. The record is from RefSeq and is marked provisional.